Long non-coding RNA from Papaver somniferum (opium poppy), 690 nucleotides. RefSeq lists it as uncharacterized. The transcript has 2 exons. NCBI's taxonomy places the organism in Eukaryota, Viridiplantae, Streptophyta, Magnoliopsida, Ranunculales, Papaveraceae. The record is from RefSeq and is a predicted model, not a curated record.
UUUAAAGUUGGAUGACCCUCUUUCAUUUGUUUUGUUUGUUAUAGCUGAGGAUGCUUUGAGCAGGAAAUAAUAUCAGUUCAAGGAAAAUGGAAGUAUUUGGGCAAUGAUCAAUUGAAGCGGUAUUCAACCAUCUUUGAGCAGGAAACUGUAAUUGGACAGACGAGUAUCUUUCAUCCGUUUUUUUUCCUUCUCUUUUUUGCAAUUUCAUGGCGAAAUCUUUCUUCACUGAGUAAACCGAAGGAUCGCUUGGGGGAGUAGAUCGAUCAUGAGCAUGGGGAUGUGACUGAGAAACCUGAUUAAGGUAGCCUGAUAGAUGCGAGUCAAACCCAUCCUGCAUAUGUUCCUCAGCUGACAGGAUUGAUGAUGAAUUCCAAGUCGAGUCAUAAUAGACAUGGUUCGAAUAAUUAUCGUUCAAGUAACCAUCUGCGCCUAAAACUGCUGGUGGCUCAGGCAUGGGUAAUACAUGUGACGAACACCAAUCGUAGUGCAAUCUUAGUGACGAUGAACAAAAAACCCUCUUCUUCUUUUUCUUUUUUUUGGUUCCAUCUUUCAUUGUAGACUCUAUGUAGUAAUUUUCUUUGUUUUUGUUGUUCAUAAGUUCCAUCAAAAUGGACUUGGCUUUGGUUAGUGCUCAAACUAUAUGAUAAACAUGUCUAAAGAAGUGAGAAUGAACUAGGGUUUUGAUUUUCA